GUCUACUGCCACGCCGCCCUGAGCACACCCGACCCCGUCUGAGCUCGGAAGCUAAGCAGGGUCGGGCCUGGUUAGUACUUGGAUGGGAGACCACCUAGGAAGACCAGAUGCUGCAGGCA
Molecule: ribosomal RNA, 119 nt
Filed under: Pteropus alecto (black flying fox)
Lineage: Eukaryota; Metazoa; Chordata; Mammalia; Chiroptera; Pteropodidae
Source: RNAcentral